UAUGUAUGCUCUUAUACAUCAAUUCCAUUCUCCAACAGGUAACUGAUCAGCCAGCCAAUAAUCAACGCCAGUACUGAGCCCAACGGUGAAUGGUCUCAACCAUUUGCGGAAAUAAUGCACUAACACUUUCAUUGAUAAGAUCCUGAAAGAAGUGAAUGCAUUCCUCAUCGUCCAAGUCUAACCGGAACUUCUCUUGAAGCUUAAG
Molecule: unclassified non-coding RNA, 205 nt
Filed under: Hevea brasiliensis (rubber tree)
Lineage: Eukaryota; Viridiplantae; Streptophyta; Magnoliopsida; Malpighiales; Euphorbiaceae
Source: RNAcentral